Zophobas morio is the source of this 447-nucleotide long non-coding RNA. RefSeq lists it as uncharacterized. The transcript is spliced from 2 exons. Lineage: Eukaryota; Metazoa; Arthropoda; Insecta; Coleoptera; Tenebrionidae. The record is from RefSeq and is a predicted model, not a curated record.
CGAGAACUUUGGAAACUUAAAAAGUCUAUAAAGUUUAAAUAUUUUAGAAACUCGAAAUCUGUAAAACUGUGUGAACCAUGAUCUUUGAAACUCUAUAUGAGCACUCUUGAGAUUCUAGAAGCUUAGGGAAAUCUAGAAUUACUAGAGAAUUUGAAGAAUAUAAAAAUUCUGAAAAUUCUAGAUUCUACAGAAAUUUUGGAAUCUCUGUAAACACGAAAGUUUUACAAAUUUAAAAACCUAGAAACUGUGAAAACUCCAGAAACCUUGAAAUGUGUAAACAAUUUAGAAGUUCUAAAAGUCUUGGGAACUAGAGAAACGCCUAAAACUCAAAAUCUUUGAAACUCCAGUGAAUACUUUAGAAACUCUAAAGGCAUUAAGGAUUCUACAAAUACUAGAAAAUGUAGGAAGUGUAGAAAUUUCGAAAAUUCUAGAUUCUGCGGAAAUUUU